Molecule: long non-coding RNA, 560 nt
Filed under: Cyanistes caeruleus (blue tit)
Lineage: Eukaryota; Metazoa; Chordata; Aves; Passeriformes; Paridae
Description: lncRNA (ENSCCEG00000009832.1)
Source: RNAcentral
CUUUCUGCUGAGCUUAUGCAAAACAUAAUUUGUAAAGAUUCUCAGCUUGUCCAAAGGUGUCCUGCAUUCCUGACUACUUACACCAGCAGCUGCAGGAAGGUACCCUCAGCUUCCUUUUGCUUCUGUUGACUGAGCAAAAGGCAUUGUGUGCUCAUACUUAUUCCAAAGAAUGUAUUUGCUGAAUGAACUGCUGGUUGUUGUCAAAGUGAGUAACAUCUAAAAUCUUCCUGUUCUACUGUCAGUCAGGGAAUUAAUAGAGAUUAUUACUUUUCUAUGCCCUCCCACUUACUGGUUACCACAACAGCUGUAAUACCUUUGGGAACUCACAUUCCCAAAGUAAGUAGAACUAAGUCACUGUAUUAAAAUUUAAGGGAAUACAGUCAUAAGACAAUUUGGAGUUGGGGAAUUUUACUUGAGGUAAUUUAUUGUGAACAAACAUGAAUUUCUGAUAGCUCUUUUGAGUGUUAAUAAUAGUAAGAUGAUGAGCAGUUAGACACACACUUGCAUGAACAACUGAUCCUCCUUCUGGCCUGGUCUAAUCAGGUACAGACAAUUCCUAA